RNAcentral lists this long non-coding RNA (532 nucleotides) under Mus musculus (house mouse). RNAcentral's name for it is "ilncRNA-EC38". Lineage: Eukaryota; Metazoa; Chordata; Mammalia; Rodentia; Muridae. The record is from RNAcentral.
UGGUUUAUUGACUAUUAGAGAUAAAUGUUGCAGCCGGGCUUGGUGGCACACAUCUUUAAUCCCAGCACUCAAGAGGCAGAGGCAGCAGAUCUCUGAGUUUGAGACCAGCCUGGUCUACAGAGUGAGUUCCAGGACAACUUAAGCUGUUACACAGAGAAUAUUGCUAGCUGAUUUUGGACUCUGGCUGUGACAGCACAAGGCUGUGACUGAAGUAAUUAUCUCCUCUGAGAGGCAGACUUUUUGGUGUAUUCUUUCUUGAGCUGCUCAAGAAUAAAUGACGAGAGGGCUGGAGAAACGGCUUGGUAGUUAACAGUACUUCCUGCUCUUCAGAGGACCCAGGCCAGGCGGCCCACAGCUCCUGAACCUCCAGUUCCUUAGUAAGCAGCACCCACUCUGGCCUCCAUAGUCACAGCAUGGUGUGUGAAAAGGGCAAGGGCUGCUGGGCUACCUCAGCAAGUAGAGACACCAGACCUGAGGGCUUGCGUUCAAUCCCCACCACAGUCCACACACACUAAGAUUACAUGGAACAGGG